GGUGUAACUUAGUUGUAGCCAGAACAACUCACCGCUUUCCAAACUUUGGCAAGAUAGGUAGCAUAAGCAACAUAGUCAAGGCCUCAGAUUCAAGCUGCCAACCAGCCGUGUGCCGGGCAGUGGCGGCGGGGAGGGCGGGGGCGGUUGCUUAGCCACUCUGGGCCUUGGGCUUGUCAUCCCUCAAAUGAGGAAGGCGGGUUUGGCGACCUGGUAAGACCUUCCAGUCAUCACAACACUUAAAGUUUCCAUGACGCUCUGGAAUAAGCCCUUCUUCUCAGACUUAGAUCUUUUGGGGCUUGCUGUUGUACAUCCACCCUGGAAUUCUGAGGGGUCGGGUGGGGUGGGGGAGAACGAGAACGAGCACUGGGACCUGGAACCAAAUUCACACGACCGAAUCCGUUAAGCAGAAAAGCUAGGACGCGGGCCAAAAGGUACAUGGUGCUUUGGAGAUGUCAAGAGAUUCGGGGCCUGCCGCACACCAAAGGUAGAGUGGAAGGGGGACUCAGGCCGGAGGCCAAUGAAUGGGUGAAGCGUUGGCAGGCCGGAGAGUCUGAGGUCUCCUCCUGCUAAGCAGCCAUUUCCUCGGUGGGGUUCUCCUGACUGGAUUGUUUCCACUGCUGCUAUGUCACAAAGGGGGCGGCCUUACUUCUUCAGAGUCACCUGAGGGCCUGUUGGAAGAUGAUGGCGGUGCAACCAGGGGGGCUGAAAUGUAGGGUGGAGGAAUCCGGUGCAGAGUCAUCAUCUCGGUCGCUCUCUAUAAACAAAGAAAAUGUCACACGUUGUCCCUUCAUUGCUGAACUCUACAAACAAACUCCCUGAAACAGGUCUUCAUGUUUUGAGAAACUGUACUCGAGGAGCUAUACUCUAGGAAUCCUGAGGUGUUUUCUCCACACCUGGACCUGAUUUAGGUAACAAGAUCCUAGACUUCAAGCUGAUGUCCUAAAAGAAUGAGUUUUGGGGAGUCUUUGGAAAGUACUCACUUUAGGGGAAGCCAGAAAUCAUGCUGUGAGGACCCUCCAACAGCCCUCUGAGAACAACUGAAGUCUUCUGUCAACGUCCAGCAUCAGCUUGGUGGCCAUUAGGUUAGAAGCAGGCAUGACUGAUCAAGAGACUGGGCGAAGAGCCAAGAGCCGGAGCUGUUGGGGAGAGGGCCCCCCCGUGAGCUAAAAGCUGCAAGAGGACGGAAGGUUCUGAAGUUCCUGCAUUGCCGUAUACCCUGAUGCAAAAGGAAGGCCCUGAGUACAUGUGGACUGACUUCACCUGGGGAUAGUCUUGGCCUCUGCACGUAAGACGAUACAGUGUGCAUAGAGCGCCAAUAAUAUGCAGAACAUUUCUCCUUCCUACUUAGGGAGAGAAGUGCUGGGAUGAAAAGGAUCUGGGAACCUAAGUUUUAUUGUUCUGGCUAGCAAUUUUCAGUGAUUGUCAAGAAAAGAGAGGAACGUGAGAGUUCUGUCAUUUCUUCUUUCUCAUUUUCUCUCAUUCCUGCCCUCGUCUUACCGCAACCCACCCCUAUGAUUAGGGGGGACUCCGACCACCCUGACAGCACUACAGAGAUCAUUUGGAGCCCACAUGAUUUCCUUGCCUCCUGGCAGUUCUGAUCCUAUCUCUCAGCCAGGUAUUUAUCAGAAUCUCUGCUCUGGCUUCUCGAGGUUCAGGGCGGGGACAGGGCAGCAGUUAACUCUGACCCCUCCCAUAGUAACACCUGUAUGUUCCAUCCACUUACCUUCUCAAGGCUUAAACAGAAUGUCCCAAAGAACUUACAUGCCCCCGGAGCCUAACCAACCCUGGCCAAUCUCUGGAGAAGGGGCCUGAUACUAGCCCACGGCAGAGGCCAUCUGAAAUAGCCCAUAUGGGAUUUUGCUAGAUGGGGUGGGGCCCCCGGGGACAGCACCCCGUUGGCUCCCAGCUCCCACUCUAGUCUGGGUUCUAGAACCUGCGAGGACGUCACCAUUUGCUGAGCUUCGGAGUCUCCAGGAAAGCCAGAAGGCGGAACCCUUUCAGGGGUCCCGAAAAGCGUGAGCUCUUCGAAGCAGGUGUUUGGUCUCUUAGAGCAAAUGCUUGAUUCACGUGGAUCUGAGCUGUGGGCGCUGGCUGGUUCUGUCCAGGGUCACGCUCAACCUUAAAAGCAGCGCUGACGCUGAAGCACUGGAGAGGAACAUUCCGAGUCAUUCGGACCCUAAAGGAGUGCUCACCGGUUGUCAGUCGAUUGUUCCUACUGCCGCUCUGUUAUCUGGCCAGCGAGCAGCUCCCUCACCCGCAAGCUGCUCCCUCCACAUGAUUUGCCAGCCACCACAGGGCAGCGACUGAACAAAAUGCUCUUCUAGGGGAUGCCCUGUUCCACUCCAUUUUUAUCUCAGCAUUCCUGUCCUUUAGAUGCACGGCUGCAAUUCUCACUCCCCGCUGCCUAGGUACGUAGCGUCCAUUGUGUAUUUCCUGAUGAUGCGCUUUGGUUUGUCUCUUGGAAACACUGUUAUUGCACCCCAGGGACGCAGCCUCCAAACUGUUGCAUUCAGCCUUCUCCUUCCUCAGCUGUUCGAAUCCCAUGACAAGGGUGACUGAUUUGGCAGCACCAUAACCAGCAGUCACUUCCCCCCCUUCCCCCCCCCCCCAAGGCUUCCCAGAGGAAAAGCUGUGCCAUUGAAAUGCAAAUGGCUGAUCAAAAGCGGUAAAUCCCUUCCGAGAACAAGGUCUGUCUUUGCCACUUUGGGCUUUGCCAAAUAUUUCAAACAGCCUUUCGCAUCUGGGCAAGGGGGAAUGUUGGUAUGUAUCAUCAGGCUGAGGCAAUGUUCUUAAACAGUGGUCAUGAUCCACUAGGGGCUUCUGAAAUCAGUUUAGUAGGUUACAACUGCAUUAGAAAAUAGAAUCGAACCAAAGAGAAUAGAGUAGACGUACAGGAGUACACAGCCCGUAACAAAGGUUGGUUUCUUCGUGAAAUUUUCAUUUUGGUAUAAACACACGCACAUAGAUACAUAAACGUGUGUACUGAUGUGGGGGCACGAAUGUAUUUCUGUUUAUUUUUUAACCUUUAUUUUAGCUGUGACGUAUUAUUAAACCCCCAGCAGCAUAUAUACAAUUUCUAUUCUCAAGACUCAAUAGACCAACUCCUAAGUUUCCCCCGCUGUGACUGGGAACGAGGACAGAGCUGAGACCUUAGAAACCGUCUGUCUGGGGGCACCUGGGCGGCUCCGUCGGUUAAGCGUCCAACUUGGAGCACGUUGUGAUCUUGCGGUCUGUGAGUUCAAGCCCCGUGUCAUGUCGGACUCUGUGCUGACAGCUCAGAGCUUGGAGCCUGUUUCAGAUUCUGUCUCCCUCUCUCUCUCUGCCCCUCCCCCGCUCGUGCUCUGUCUCUCUUGCUCUCAAAAAUAAAUAAAACAUAAAAAAUUUGAAAAGAAACCGUCUGUCUGACCCUCCUCACCUCAUUCCCCUUCCCGGCCCCCAGAAGCAGCCGCACUCCUGACUUUUACAGUAAUCGUCCCCUGGCUUUGGUCACAGUUUUGCCCCCCACAUCUACAUCAGGAAGAACAGUGAGUUUGGUCUGCCUUUGAGCUCUUCCUAAGGAUUCUCCUGGGAUUUGCUUCUUCCCCUCAAGGCUGUGUUCCUGAGAUUUUUCUCUCGUCGGCACGUUCACUUGUAGCUCAAGCAUCUCACUGGCGUGUAGCUUUCUUCGUAAGAUUGCACCAUGAUACCGGCACCAUCCUGGGGCUGGUGGACACGAGAGUCAUUCCAGAUUGGGUGUUUACAAACAGUGCUGCUCCGGAACCUUCUCCCUCAUUUCCCCGGCAUGCCUACAGAGGGGUUUCUCUGGCACGCAGGAGAGGGCUGUUGGGUCUGUGAUUCCUGCAUGUUCUACGUGACGGGGUGCAGCUCGGUGCUUGCACCCAUUCUCCACCACCAGCCCACACGUGGUUUUGUUCAGAUGCAUUUCUGACUGUGGUCUGUAACCAAAAAAGUUGGAAGACAUGUCUAAAGGCUCCUAAGGUAAGAACGGUACUCCUUUAAAACUAAGAAUUUUUUCAUUGCCGUGUGUGUGUGUGUGUGUGUGUGUGUGUGUGUGUAGGUGAGCCUGGAGGAAAUCAGAGCAGGAGAAAGGAUGAAAGGACACUCACGUUGUGAGCACUUGUUACCCACCAUGCACCGAGCACAGCACUUUACCAAUUUGCACGUAUUUUCUCCUAAAUCUUCACAUCAGCCUUGUGAGACGUGGUUAAAUCCCACUCGGUAGAACACAGGUUCAAAGAAGGUAAGGAACGCACCCAGAGCCAUAUGGCAAGAAAUACGCUGGAACUGGAAUUUGAACCCAGGCCUAUCGGUCUCCAAAGCCACCUGACCACUUUUCCCACCUCGGAUGCUCUUCCCAAGGCCCCUGCCUCCGCGGGUUGUACUUCCCUGCCUCACUGGCACAUGACCUUGGCCCAAGAUUGCCUCCAAAUCACUGUGAGAGAGGCGCAGUUCAUCCCAGGACUUCAGAUCUUCCACAGAGUGUCCUUGGCCCCCUGCCCAGCUCACACCUGCCCUCCAGAUGCCAGGACCUGAACAGCUCACCAUUCCGCCCGAUGCUUAGACGGCUCUUGCCAGUCACUGGCUCCUUGGUCUCUCACUGUCUCUCUCUGUCUCUAGAUGGUGCCCUCUUGCUGGAGGACCGGCUCGACCUUUCCUCUCUGAAAGUUUUCAUGUGUCUGCUCCCACCCAGGGAGGUGGAGGCUUUCUUUUGGGUAGGACACGUUCUUCUGACCAUGAAAAGGGCAAUCACGGAGGAGAUGUUUCAUUAUCAAGCAACUUCGAGACUAGUGAUUGACCAAACACCUGGGCACCUAGGCCCCCACAUCACACACAUGGAACUUGAGCAGCAACAUUGGAUGAGUUUCACACUCAGAUGAAGUCUGUUGCUAGGCUCCCUUGACCUCAGGUCCGAUUUUGCCACCAAAUGAGUUUUGGGAGCUUGGGGGUCUGGGGGGAAGGGGUGGAAAGGACCAAAGGUUAAUUUCACUUACUUUACGGUUUCCAUUCUGAUCAGGCCUGCUUGCCAAAGUGCAAAGGGCUGCUAUCUAUGCGUAAGAGCGAUAAUAACGGCAGUCAGUUAUUAAGUGUGUAUCAUGCUGCCAAGUGUUAAAUAACUUUAUUCUCCUGUAUCUUUCACGGCAGCCCUGUGAAGCACGUCUUAUUUUUCCCAUUUUCUAGAAGAGGAAAGUAAACCCAGAGAAGGGAAGGACUUUGCUCCAACUCACACAGCAAAAAAGAGGCCGAGCUUGUGACCAGCUCGCUAUGCUGCCUCCUUCUCCGGAGGGAUGUGUGCAGAAAGGAGAAAGUGUAACCGCUCAGAAAACAUUGGGGCGCCUGGGUGGCUCAGUCGGUUGAGCGUCUGACUUGGGCUCAGGUCACGAUCUCGCGGUCCGUGAGUUCGAGCCCCGCGUCGGGCUCUGGGCUGACAGCUCAGAG
Felis catus (domestic cat) is the source of this 5436-nucleotide RNA transcript. It is a transcript of the gene named chibby family member 2, with no coding region annotated. The record is from RefSeq and is a predicted model, not a curated record. The transcript has 8 exons. Lineage: Eukaryota; Metazoa; Chordata; Mammalia; Carnivora; Felidae.